AUUGAACGCUGGCGGAAUGCUUUACACAUGCAAGUCGAGCGGCAGCGCGGGGCAACCUGGCGGCGAGCGGCGAACGGGUGAGUAAUGCAUCGGAACAUGUCCAUGUCGUGGGGGAUAGCCCGGCGAAAGCCGGAUUAAUACCGCAUAAGCCCGAGAGGGGAAAGCAGGGGACCGCAAGGCCUUGCGCGAUUGGGUUGGCCGAUGUCCGAUUAGCUUGUUGGUGAGGUAAAGGCUUACCAAGGCGAUGAUCGGUAGCUGGUCUGAGAGGAUGAUCAGCCACACUGGGACUGAGACACGGCCCAGACUCCUACGGGAGGCAGCAGUGGGGAAUUUUGGACAAUGGGGGCAACCCUGAUCCAGCCAUUCCGCGUGAGUGAAGAAGGCCUUCGGGUUGUAAAGCUCUUUUGUCCGGAGCGAAACGGUUACGGUGAAUAUCCGUGACUACUGACGGUACCGGAAGAAUAAGCACCGGCUAACUACGUGCCAGCCGCCGCC
Molecule: ribosomal RNA, 495 nt
Filed under: uncultured bacterium
Lineage: Bacteria
Description: bacterial SSU rRNA
Rfam family: Bacterial small subunit ribosomal RNA
Source: RNAcentral